AACGAACGCUGGCGGCAUGCCUAACACAUGCAAGUCGAACGAGAUCUUCGGGUCUAGUGGCGCACGGGUGCGUAACGCGUGGGAAUCUGCCCUUUGGUUCGGAAUAACAGUUGGAAACGACUGCUAAUACCGGAUGAUGACGAAAGUCCAAAGACUUAUCGCCAGAGGAUGAGCCCGCGUAGGAUUAGCUAGUUGGUGUGGUAAAGGCGCACCAAGGUGACGAUCCUUAGCUGGUCUGAGAGGAUGAUCAGCCACACUGGGGCUGAGACACGGCCCAGACUCCUACGGGAGGCAGCAGUGGGGAAUAUUGGACAAUGGGCGAAAGCCUGAUCCAGCAAUGCCGCGUGAGUGAUGAAGGCCUUAGGGUUGUAAAGCUCUAUUACCCGGGAUGAUAAUGACAGUACCGGGAGAAUAAGCUCCGGCUAACUCCGUGCCAGCCGCCGCGGUAA
RNAcentral lists this ribosomal RNA (449 nucleotides) under uncultured bacterium. RNAcentral's name for it is "partial 16S ribosomal RNA". It matches the Rfam family "Bacterial small subunit ribosomal RNA", at positions 29 to 523 of the family's 1533-position model. The record is from RNAcentral.